AUUGAACGCUGGCGGCAGGCCUAACACAUGCAAGUCGAGCGGAUGAAGGGAGCUUGCUCCUGGAUUCAGCGGCGGACGGGUGAGUAAUGCCUAGGAAUCUGCCUGGUAGUGGGGGAUAACGUCCGGAAACGGGCGCUAAUACCGCAUACGUCCUGAGGGAGAAAGUGGGGGAUCUUCGGACCUCACGCUAUCAGAUGAGCCUAGGUCGGAUUAGCUAGUUGGUGGGGUAAAGGCCUACCAAGGCGACGAUCCGUAACUGGUCUGAGAGGAUGAUCAGUCACACUGGAACUGAGACACGGUCCAGCCUCCUACGGGAGGCAGCAGUGGGGAAUAUUGGACAAAGGGCGAAAGCCUGAUCCAGCCAUGCCGCGUGUGUGAAGAAGGUCUUCGGAUUGUAAAGCACUUUAAGUUGGGAGGAAGGGCAGUAAGUUAAUACCUUGCUGUUUUGACGUUACCAACAGAAUAAGCACCGGCUAACUUCGUG
RNAcentral lists this ribosomal RNA (484 nucleotides) under uncultured bacterium. RNAcentral's name for it is "partial 16S ribosomal RNA". It matches the Rfam family "Bacterial small subunit ribosomal RNA", at positions 30 to 507 of the family's 1533-position model. The record is from RNAcentral.